UCCAGUGGCUGGGGUCGGUUUCCUGGCCGGGAAUUGAACCCGGGCUGCAGCAGUGAGAGCGCUGUGGCGUAACCACUAGUCCUCCAGGGACCCAGUAAUAUUGAUUCCAGUAGCUAAUUAGAUAGGCAGCAAGUCAAAUUCUAGCUAAUGGUAAAUAUUGCAGACUUAAACAGCAAAAAAACGAAGUGGUUCUUUAAAACAAAAAUUAUCUUCUAACAGCUUUAGGUGUGUACGCAGCACCAAACUUGAUUAACAUCACUGCCAACAUUCCAUGGACAAAAACAAGUAAUGAAAUACAUGAAAAUAAGGGCAUUGCAAAUGCAGAAUCAUCGAUCAUGCUGUUUUGUAACUUUUUUGGCGUGGUUUGGAUUCCAAAACCACUAACAACUGGCAAGAACUGGAGAAAAAUGCAUCUGUGGUUUGAACUUCUGAAAAAUUCUUUGCUCAAAUUGAGACAUUAAGGCAAAGGGAAACUUCAGCCAGCAGCCGCACUAAUAAACAUAAAGAGUUUUUUUUUACAAUUAGCAUUGUGCAUCUCCUUAGUACAAAAUGAUCUACGAUCCAAGGUUCACAUUCAGCUUGGUUUACUGUCUGUGUGCAUGUUCUCCCUGCAUUUGUAUCGGUCUCCUCAGGGUUCCCUGGUUUCCUCCCUCCAAAAACAUACCUACAGUGUG
Pangasianodon hypophthalmus (striped catfish) is the source of this 674-nucleotide long non-coding RNA. RefSeq lists it as uncharacterized. NCBI's taxonomy places the organism in Eukaryota, Metazoa, Chordata, Actinopteri, Siluriformes, Pangasiidae. The record is from RefSeq and is a predicted model, not a curated record. The transcript has 3 exons.